AGGAAAGCAGGGGAUCGCAAGACCUUGCGCUCUUGGAGCGGCCGAUGUCUGAUUAGCUAGUUGGUGAGGUAAAGGCUUACCAAGGCGACGAUCAGUAGCUGGUCUGAGAGGACGACCAGCCACACUGGGACUGAGACACGGCCCAGACUCCUACGGGAGGCAGCAGUGGGGAAUUUUGGACAAUGGGGGAAACCCUGAUCCAGCCAUGCCGCGUGAGUGAAGAAGGCCUUCGGGUUGUAAAGCUCUUUCAGCCGGAACGAAACGGUCACGGCUAAUACCUGUGAUCACUGACGGUACCGGAAGAAGAAGCACCGGCUAACUACGUGCCAGCAGCCGCGGUAAUACGUAGGGUGCAAGCGUUAAUCGGAAUUACUGGGCGUAAAGCGUGCGCAGGCGGUUUUGUAAGUCAGAUGUGAAAUCCCCGGGCUUAACCUGGGAACUGCGUNUGAAACUACAAGGCU
Molecule: ribosomal RNA, 461 nt
Filed under: uncultured beta proteobacterium
Lineage: Bacteria; Pseudomonadati; Pseudomonadota; Betaproteobacteria
Description: bacterial SSU rRNA
Rfam family: Bacterial small subunit ribosomal RNA
Source: RNAcentral